CCCUUAGAUGUCCGGGGCCGCACGCGCGCUACACUGAAGGAAUCAGCGUGGCUUUCUCCCUGACCCGAAAGGGUUGGAAAACCCGUUGAAUCUCCUUCGUGAUAGGGAUUGGGGCUUGAAAUUGUUCCCCAUGAACGAGGAAUUCCCAGUAAGCGCGAGUCAUAAGCUCGCGUUGAUUACGUCCCUGCCCUUUGUACACACCGCCCGUCGCUACUACCGAUUGAACGGUUUAGUGAGGGCCUCGGAUUGGUCUCGGCCCGCUCUUUACCGGGCGGCGCCGUUGGUCGAGAAGACGCUCGAACUUGAUCGUUUAGAGGAAGUAAAAGUCGUAACA
RNAcentral lists this ribosomal RNA (334 nucleotides) under uncultured eukaryote. RNAcentral's name for it is "partial 18S ribosomal RNA". It matches the Rfam family "Eukaryotic small subunit ribosomal RNA", at positions 1470 to 1796 of the family's 1831-position model. The record is from RNAcentral.